Molecule: ribosomal RNA, 477 nt
Filed under: uncultured bacterium
Lineage: Bacteria
Description: partial 16S ribosomal RNA
Rfam family: Bacterial small subunit ribosomal RNA
Source: RNAcentral
GAUUAACGCUGGCGGCGUGCAUAACACAUGCAAGUCGAACGAUGAAACUUAAAUGAUUUCUUCGGAAUGAACUUAAGUGGAUUAGUGGCGGACGGGCGAGUAACGCGUGAGUAACCUGCCUUACACAAGGGGAUAGCCGUUGGAAACGACGAAUAAUACCCUAUGAAACUAUCACUUCGCAUGAAGCGAUAGUCAAAGUGUUAGCGGUGUAAGAUGGACUUGCGUCUGAUUAGCUAGUUGGUGAGAAAAAAGCCCACCAAGGCAACGAUCAGUAGCCGGCUUGAGAGAGUGUACGGCCACAUUGGGACUGAGACACGGCCCAGACUCCUACGGGAGGCAGCAGUGGGGAAUUUUGCACAAUGGGGGAAACCCUGAUGCAGCGACGCCGCGUGAUUUAGAAGGCCUUCGGGUUGUAAAAAUCUUUUGUAUAGGAAGAAAAUGACAGUACUAUACGAAUAAGGUCCGGCUAAUUACGUG